This 446-nucleotide ribosomal RNA is filed under the name uncultured bacterium. RNAcentral's name for it is "partial 16S ribosomal RNA". It matches the Rfam family "Bacterial small subunit ribosomal RNA", at positions 330 to 793 of the family's 1533-position model. The record is from RNAcentral.
UCCAGACUCCUACGGGAGGCAGCAGUGGGGAAUAUUGCACAAUGGGGGAAACCCUGAUGCAGCAACGCCGCGUGAGUGAAGAAGUAUUUCGAUAUGUAAAGCUCUCUCAGCAGGGAAGAAGAUGACGGUACCUGAUUAAGAAGCCCCGGCUAACUACGUGCCAGCAGCCGCGGUAAUACGUAGGGGGCAAGCGUUAUCCGGAUUUACUGGGUGUAAAGGGAGCGUAGACGGCAUAGCAAGUCUGAAGUGAAAGCCCAAGGCUCAACCAUGGGACUGCUUUGGAAACUGUUAAGCUAGAGUGCGGGAGGGGCAGGCGGAAUUCCUGGUGUAGCGGUGAAAUGCGUAGAUAUCAGGAGGAACACCGGCGGCGAAGGCGGCCUGCUGGACCGCGACUGACGUUGAGGCUCGAAAGCGUGGGGAGCGAACAGGAUUAGAUACCCGUGUAG